ACGGUAUUCCGGAGAAUUCCACAUAUUGUGGAUACCGAAGGUGCAAGGCAUAAUGCUAAUCUCUCAGGUCAAAGGACGGAAA
This 82-nucleotide non-coding RNA is filed under the name human gut metagenome. Its description in RNAcentral is "Glycine riboswitch". It matches the Rfam family "Glycine riboswitch aptamer", at positions 9 to 86 of the family's 94-position model. Rfam says of the family: This family represents the bacterial glycine riboswitch. Glycine riboswitches usually consist of two metabolite-binding aptamers domains with similar structures in tandem. The record is from RNAcentral.